UCGGGAAUUUUGGGCAAUGGGCGAAAGCCUGACCCAGCAACGCCGCGUGAAGGAUGAAGUAUUUCGGUAUGUAAACUUCGAAAGAAUAGGAAGAAUAAAUGACGGUACUAUUUAUAAGGUCCGGCUAACUACGUGCCAGCAGCCGCGGUAAUACGUAGGGACCAAGCGUUGUUCGGAUUUACUGGGCGUAAAGGGCGCGUAGGCGGCAUGACAAGUCACUUGUGAAAUCUCCGAGCUUAACUCGGAACGGUCAACUGAUACUGUCACACUAGAGUACAGAAGGGGCAAUCGGAAUUCUUGGUGUAGCGGUGAAAUGCGUAGAUAUCAAGAGGAACACCUGAGGCGAAGGCGGGUUGCUGGGCUGAUACUGACGCUGAGGCGCGAAAGCUAGGGUAGCAAACGGGAUUAGAUACCCCCGUAGUCCCUGAGCGGGCUGGCAAGGCGCAU
Molecule: ribosomal RNA, 447 nt
Filed under: uncultured bacterium
Lineage: Bacteria
Description: bacterial SSU rRNA
Rfam family: Bacterial small subunit ribosomal RNA
Source: RNAcentral